AGUGGGGAAUAUUGCACAAUGGGGGAAACCCUGAUGCAGCCAUGCCGCGUGUGUGAAGAAGGCCUUCGGGUUGUAAAGCACUUUCAGUCGUGAGGAAAGGUGUGUAGGUAAUAUCUGCAUACUGUGACGUUAGCGACAGAAGAAGCACCGGCUAACUCCGUGCCAGCAGCCGCGGUAAUACGGAGGGUGCGAGCGUUAAUCGGAAUUACUGGGCGUAAAGCGUGCGUAGGCGGAUUGUUAAGCGAGAUGUGAAAGCCCCGGGCUCAACCUGGGAACUGCAUUUCGAACUGGCAGUCUAGAGUUUUGUAGAGGGUGGUGGAAUUUCCAGUGUAGCGGUGAAAUGCGUAGAGAUUGGAAGGAACAUCAGUGGCGAAGGCGGCCACCUGGACAAAAACUGACGCUGAGGCACGAAAGCGUGGGGAGCAAA
RNAcentral lists this ribosomal RNA (427 nucleotides) under uncultured Thalassomonas sp. RNAcentral describes it as "bacterial SSU rRNA". It matches the Rfam family "Bacterial small subunit ribosomal RNA", at positions 353 to 772 of the family's 1533-position model. Lineage: Bacteria; Pseudomonadati; Pseudomonadota; Gammaproteobacteria; Alteromonadales; Colwelliaceae. The record is from RNAcentral.